This 2712-nucleotide ribosomal RNA is filed under the name Escherichia coli. RNAcentral's name for it is "bacterial LSU rRNA". Lineage: Bacteria; Pseudomonadati; Pseudomonadota; Gammaproteobacteria; Enterobacterales; Enterobacteriaceae. The record is from RNAcentral.
AGCGUACACGGUGGAUGCCCUGGCAGUCAGAGGCGAUGAAGCAGUGUGAUUCGUCACACUAUCAUUAACUGAAUCCAUAGGUUAAUGAGGCGAACCGGGGGAACUGAAACAUCUAAGUACCCCGAGGAAAAGAAAUCAACCGAGAUUCCCCCAGUAGCGGCGAGCGAACGGGGAGCAGCCCAGAGCCUGAAUCAGUGUGUGUGUUAGUGGAAGCGUCUGGAAAGGCGYGCGAUACAGGGUGACAGCCCCGUACACAAAAAUGCACAURYUGUGAGCUCGAUGAGUAGGGCGGGACACGUGGUAUCCUGUCUGAAUAUGGGGGGACCAUCCUCCAAGGCUAAAUACUCCUGACUGACCGAUAGUGAACCAGUACCGUGAGGGAAAGGCGAAAAGAACCCCGGCGAGGGGAGUGAAAAAGAACCUGAAACCGUGUACGUACAAGCAGUGGGAGCACGCUUAGGCGUGUGACUGCGUACCUUUUGUAUAAUGGGUCAGCGACUUAUAUUCUGUAGCAAGGUUAACCGAAUAGGGGAGCCGAAGGGAAACCGAGUCUUAACUGGGCGUUAAGUUGCAGGGUAUAGACCCGAAACCCGGUGAUCUAGCCAUGGGCAGGUUGAAGGUUGGGUAACACUAACUGGAGGACCGAACCGACUAAUGUUGAAAAAUUAGCGGAUGACUUGUGGCUGGGGGUGAAAGGCCAAUCAAACCGGGAGAUAGCUGGUUCUCCCCGAAAGCUAUUUAGGUAGCGCCUCGUGAAUUCAUCUCCGGGGGUAGAGCACUGUUUCGGCAAGGGGGUCAUCCCGACUUACCAACCCGAUGCAAACUGCGAAUACCGGAGAAUGUUAUCACGGGAGACACACGGCGGGUGCUAACGUCCGUCGUGAAGAGGGAAACAACCCAGACCGCCAGCUAAGGUCCCAAAGUCAUGGUUAAGUGGGAAACGAUGUGGGAAGGCCCAGACAGCCAGGAUGUUGGCUUAGAAGCAGCCAUCAUUUAAAGAAAGCGUAAUAGCUCACUGGUCGAGUCGGCCUGCGCGGAAGAUGUAACGGGGCUAAACCAUGCACCGAAGCUGCGGCAGCGACGCUGAUGCGUUGUUGGGUAGGGGAGCGUUCUGUAAGCCUGCGAAGGUGUGCUGUGAGGCAUGCUGGAGGUAUCAGAAGUGCGAAUGCUGACAUAAGUAACGAUAAAGCGGGUGAAAAGCCCGCUCGCCGGAAGACCAAGGGUUCCUGUCCAACGUUAAUCGGGGCAGGGUGAGUCGACCCCUAAGGCGAGGCCGAAAGGCGUAGUCGAUGGGAAACAGGUUAAUAUUCCUGUACUUGGUGUUACUGCGAAGGGGGGACGGAGAAGGCUAUGUUGGCCGGGCGACGGUUGUCCCGGUUUAAGCGUGUAGGCUGGUUUUCCAGGCAAAUCCGGAAAAUCAAGGCUGAGGCGUGAUGACGAGGCACUACGGUGCUGAAGCAACAAAUGCCCUGCUUCCAGGAAAAGCCUCUAAGCAUCAGGUAACAUCAAAUCGUACCCCAAACCGACACAGGUGGUCAGGUAGAGAAUACCAAGGCGCUUGAGAGAACUCGGGUGAAGGAACUAGGCAAAAUGGUGCCGUAACUUCGGGAGAAGGCACGCUGAUAUGUAGGUGAAGUCCCUCGCGGAUGGAGCUGAAAUCAGUCGAAGAUACCAGCUGGCUGCAACUGUUUAUUAAAAACACAGCACUGUGCAAACACGAAAGUGGACGUAUACGGUGUGACGCCUGCCCGGUGCCGGAAGGUUAAUUGAUGGGGUYAGCGCAAGCGAAGCUCUUGAUCGAAGCCCCGGUAAACGGCGGCCGUAACUAUAACGGUCCUAAGGUAGCGAAAUUCCUUGUCGGGUAAGUUCCGACCUGCACGAAUGGCGUAAUGAUGGCCAGGCUGUCUCCACCCGAGACUCAGUGAAAUUGAACUCGCUGUGAAGAUGCAGUGUACCCGCGGCAAGACGGAAAGACCCCGUGAACCUUUACUAUAGCUUGACACUGAACAUUGAGCCUUGAUGUGUAGGAUAGGUGGGAGGCUUKGAAGUGUGGACGCCAGUCUGCAUGGAGCCGACCUUGAAAUACCACCCUUUAAUGUUUGAUGUUCUAACGUKGACCCGURAUCCGGGUUGCGGACAGUGUCUGGUGGGUAGUUUGACUGGGGCGGUCUCCUCCUAAAGAGUAACGGAGGAGCACGAAGGUUGGCUAAUCCUGGUCGGACAUCAGGAGGUUAGUGCAAUGGCAUAAGCCAGCUUGACUGCGAGCGUGACGGCGCGAGCAGGUGCGAAAGCAGGUCAUAGUGAUCCGGUGGUUCUGAAUGGAAGGGCCAUCGCUCAACGGAUAAAAGGUACUCCGGGGAUAACAGGCUGAUACCGCCCAAGAGUUCAUAUCGACGGCGGUGUUUGGCACCUCGAUGUCGGCUCAUCACAUCCUGGGGCUGAAGUAGGUCCCAAGGGUAUGGCUGUUCGCCAUUUAAAGUGGUACGCGAGCUGGGUUUAGAACGUCGUGAGACAGUUCGGUCCCUAUCUGCCGUGGGCGCUGGAGAACUGAGGGGGGCUGCUCCUAGUACGAGAGGACCGGAGUGGACGCAUCACUGGUGUUCGGGUUGUCAUGCCAAUGGCACUGCCCGGUAGCUAAAUGCGGAAGAGAUAAGUGCUGAAAGCAUCUAAGCACGAAACUUGCCCCGAGAUGAGUUCUCCCUGACUCCUUGA